GACGAACGCUGGCGGCGUGCUUAACACAUGCAAGUCGAACGGUGAAGCGCCUUCCUUUUUGGUGGGUGUGGAUGAGUGGCGAACGGGUGAGUAACACGUGAGUAACCUGCCCCCUUCUUCUGGAUAACCGCAUGAAAGUGUGGCUAAUACGGGAUAUUCUGUGUCUGUCGCAUGAUGGGUCUGGGAAAGAUAUUGUUUCGGUGGGGGAUGGGCUCGCGGCCCAUCAGCUUGUUGGUGGGGUGAUGGCCUACCAAGGCGGUGACGGGUAGCCGGCCUGAGAGGGUGGACGGUCACACUGGGACUGAGACACGGCCCAGACUCCUACGGGAGGCAGCAGUGGGGAAUAUUGCACAAUGGGCGCAAGCCUGAUGCAGCGACGCCGCGUGAGGGAUGGAGGCCUUCGGGUUGUGAACCUCUUUCGCCAGUGAAGCAGGCCUGCCUAGUUUGUGGGUGGGUUGACGGUAGCUGGAUAAGAAGCGCCGGCUAACUACGUG
Molecule: ribosomal RNA, 494 nt
Filed under: uncultured bacterium
Lineage: Bacteria
Description: partial 16S ribosomal RNA
Rfam family: Bacterial small subunit ribosomal RNA
Source: RNAcentral